UGGGGAAUUUUGCACAAUGGGGGAAACCCUGAUGCAGCGACGCCGCGUGAUUUAGAAGGCCUUCGGGUUGUAAAAAUCUUUUCUAUGGGAAGAAAAUGACAGUACCAUAGGAAUAAGGACCGGCUAAUUACGUGCCAGCAGCCGCGGUAAUACGUAGGUCCGAGCGUUGUCCGGAAUCAUUGGGCGUAAAGGGUACGUAGGCGGGUAAGCAAGUUAGAAGUGAAAUCCUAUAGCUCAACUAUAGUAAGCUUUUAAAACUGCUCAUCUUGAGGUAUGGAAGGGAAAGUGGAAUUCCUAGUGUAGCGGUGAAAUGCGCAGAUAUUAGGAGGAAUACCGGUGGCGAAGGCGACUUUCUGGCCAUAACCUGACGCUGAGGUACGAAAGCGUGGGUAGCAAACAGG
RNAcentral lists this ribosomal RNA (401 nucleotides) under bacterium. Its description in RNAcentral is "partial 16S ribosomal RNA". It matches the Rfam family "Bacterial small subunit ribosomal RNA", at positions 355 to 776 of the family's 1533-position model. The record is from RNAcentral.